This 345-nucleotide unclassified non-coding RNA is filed under the name soil metagenome. RNAcentral's name for it is "partial contains 5.8S ribosomal RNA, internal transcribed spacer 2, and large subunit ribosomal RNA". The stretch from base 2 to 118 matches the Rfam family "5.8S ribosomal RNA", at positions 37 to 154 of the family's 154-position model. The record is from RNAcentral.
GUGAAGAACGUAGUGAAAUGCGAUACGUAAUGUGAAUUGCAAAUUCAGUGAAUCAUCGAGUCUUUGAACGCACAUUGCGCCCCCUGGUAUUCCGGGGGGCAUGCCUGUCCGAGCGUCAUUGCUGCCCUCAAGCACGGCUUGUGUGUUGGGCCCCGUCCUCCGAUCCCGGGGGACGGGCCCGAAAGGCAGCGGCGGCACCGCGUCCGGUCCUCGAGCGUAUGGGGCUUUGUCACCCGCUCUGUAGGCCCGGCCGGCGCUUGCCGAUCAACCCAAAUUUUUUAUCCAGGUUGACCUCGGAUCAGGUAGGGAUACCCGCUGAACUUAAGCAUAUCAAUAAGCGGAGGA